RNAcentral lists this unclassified non-coding RNA (1237 nucleotides) under Zea mays. RNAcentral describes it as "misc RNA Zm00001eb336940". The record is from RNAcentral. Lineage: Eukaryota; Viridiplantae; Streptophyta; Magnoliopsida; Poales; Poaceae.
GUGCCCGAAGCCGACGGCGGCGUCGAGUCCAAGAUCAUCACCAGGUCGUUCGAGUACCUCAUGUACGUGAACGUCGGCACGCCGCCGGCGCAGAUGCUCGCCAUCGCCGACACCGGCAGCGACCUCGUGUGGGUGAACUGCAGCAGCAACGGCGGCGGCGGCGGCGCCAGCGACGGCGCCGUCGUGUUCCACCCGUCCCGCUCGACGACGUACAGCCUCCUGAGCUGCCAGUCCGCCGCGUGCCAGGCGCUGAGCCAGGCGUCCUGCGACGCGGACUCCGAGUGCCAGUACCAGUACGCGUACGGCGACGGCUCGCGCACGAUCGGGGUGCUGUCGACCGAGACCUUCAGCUUCGCCGCCGCCGGCGGCGGCGGCGAGGGCCAGGUGCGCGUGCCCCGCGUCAGCUUCGGCUGCUCGACGGGCAGCGCCGGCAGCUUCCGCUCCGACGGGCUUGUGGGGCUCGGCGCCGGGGCCCUGUCCCUCGUGUCGCAGCUCGGCGCCGCGGCGCGCAUCGCUCGCAGGUUCUCCUACUGCCUCGUCCCGCCCUACGCCGCCGCCAACUCGUCCUCCACCCUCAGCUUCGGCGCCAGGGCCGUCGUGUCGGAUCCCGGCGCCGCGUCGACGCCGCUGGUGCCGUCGGAGGUGGACUCGUACUACACCGUCGCUCUGGAGUCCGUCGCGGUCGCCGGGCAGGAUGUGGCGUCGGCCAACAGCUCCCGCAUCAUCGUCGACUCCGGCACGACGCUCACGUUCCUCGACCCGGCGCUGCUGCGGCCGCUGGUGGCGGAGCUGGAGCGCCGGAUCAGGCUGCCGCGGGCCCAGCCGCCGGAGCAGCUGCUGCAGCUGUGCUACGACGUGCAGGGGAAGUCCCAGGCGGAGGACUUCGGCAUUCCGGACGUGACGCUGCGGUUCGGCGGUGGCGCCUCCGUCACGCUGCGGCCGGAGAACACCUUCUCGUUGCUGGAGGAGGGGACGCUGUGCCUUGUGCUGGUGCCCGUGUCGGAGUCACAGCCUGUGUCCAUCCUCGGGAACAUCGCGCAGCAGAACUUCCAUGUCGGGUACGACCUCGACGCGCGAACGGUCACCUUCGCCGCCGUCGACUGCACCCGCUCGUCGGCCUCCAGCUGACCGACAUGCGGACCCCUGUAAAAACAUGAGAAUAAGAUCAUUUGGUAUAAGAUGGAAAACUCUGUGAUCGUGGUUUGAGUUUACAUGUUAGCACCGAGAGAGAAAGGGC